Long non-coding RNA from Zingiber officinale, 1310 nucleotides. RefSeq lists it as uncharacterized. Lineage: Eukaryota; Viridiplantae; Streptophyta; Magnoliopsida; Zingiberales; Zingiberaceae. The record is from RefSeq and is a predicted model, not a curated record. The transcript has 4 exons.
UGUGUGGACUCUAUGGAAGACUAUAGAAAGCUUGAGAAAAAGGUAAGGGUAAGGAAAAAAUUGCAACUCCUGCCACUGUCGAGAGUUGGGAUGGUAACACAGAGGAUUCUACAAACACCCAAACCACAAGAAUAUCUAGAGGUCGUACACACCUAGAUAAGCUAGCUAAGCAAUGGGUUCAAGGAGUUAGAAUGGAUGUUGCAUUCAAGAAACUUGGAAAGCCAAUAGGAGAAGCAGCUGUUGCAAUGCAAAGUUAUAUUGGUGUGCUUGCUCGAGAAAAGGUUAAAAUUACUUACAAGACUUGGAAAUAUGUUCCAAGUGAUGUUAAAGAACUGAUAUGGGAAUAAGUUAAUUUUGACGUACAAUGUUGACACAAAGUGGAAGAAAGGUUGUUUGAAAUAUGUAAAUAAUAAGUGGCGUCAAUACAAAACUCAUUUCACUAAGACAUUCAUUUUAAGUAAGCUUGAUAAACCAGAGGAGUUGGAUGAGCCACCUACUAGCUAUGGUAUUACAAGAGAUACGUGAAGGUCGUUUGUGAUUAGUCGCAUGUCUGAAUAUUUCAUUAUAAGAUUCUUAAUUUAUUUAUUUUUAAUUAAUUUAUUUAUAUUCAAGUUUGAAAUAACUAGAAACUAAGUUAUCAACAAAAAGAGAGAAGAAAACAACACAUAUAUCCUCAUCGACUUUCACGUAAAGGAUAUGCACGAUUUGCAGAAGAAAUAGCAACAGAAUUAUGUGAUGAUGAUGACAUUAAUAGAGCUAUUUUGUGGAAGAAAGGAUGAGUCACCAAAGAAGGUGACUUUAAAGGAAAGGACUUGAUGAAAAAAGUACAUCAGAUUGAUGAUUAUAUACAACAAAAGAGGGAGGGUAAGCUGAAAAUUGAAGGUACCAAAGAGGAUAUACUUACAAAGCACUUGAGACUGGAGAAUAUAAUGGUCGUGUGAGGGGUAUUGGAGGUCAUAUCACUCCAACAAUAUAUUUCGAUUUUGGUAGAAGAUGGAAGUGUGCUGAUGUUGCCUAAGAAGUAAUCAUUGAGCAUAAAAGGGAGCUGAUGGAGGCCAGGAAGAAAAUUUUAGAACAAGAUGCACGUAUACAAAACCUUGAAGUAAUUGUGUAUAAAAAGGGUGCAAGCAACAUUUUGAUUGAUGACAAAGGCAGUUGCUCAGUGAAGUUGCAUCCUAUGAUUGAAGAUGACAUGAAGAUCGAUGAUGAUGCCCCACAGAUUUUGUGUCAAGAUAAUGCUUUACAGGUAUAACACUAGUUGUAGUUAUAUUAAUUGUGACCUGUAGAUUUUGUGACCUGCAACUUUUGUA